GACGAACGCUGGCGGCGUGCCUAAUACAUGCAAGUCGAGCGAAAAGACGAUGCGCUUGCUCGUCUCUCGUUAGCGGCGCACGUGUGAGUCACAUGUGUAAAACCUCCCUAUCAGACUGAUAUCACCACGGGACUCCGGAUAUUACACCGUAUAAUCUCUUGCUGCGUAUGGGUCAUUAGUAAGAUUCGGUUUUUGUGUCUCUUCUCGCUGGAUCUCGGCCGCAUUAGCUGGUUGGUAAGGUAACGGCCUACCAAGGGGAUGAUGCGUAGCCGACCUGAGAGGGUGAUAGGCCGCACUGGAGCUGAGACACGGUCAAGGCUCCUGCGGGAGGCAGCAGUAGGGAAUCGUCCGCAAUGGGCGGAAGCCUGACGGAGCAGCGGCACGUGAGUGAUGAAGGUCCUCGGAUCGUAAAACUCUGUUAUUAGGGAAGAACAACUGUGUACUUAACCAUGCACGUCUUGACGGUACCUAAUCAGAAAGCCCCGGCUAACUACGUG
Molecule: ribosomal RNA, 497 nt
Filed under: uncultured bacterium
Lineage: Bacteria
Description: partial 16S ribosomal RNA
Rfam family: Bacterial small subunit ribosomal RNA
Source: RNAcentral